RNAcentral lists this unclassified non-coding RNA (253 nucleotides) under uncultured Rickettsiales bacterium. RNAcentral's name for it is "contains 16S-23S intergenic spacer region". It matches the Rfam family "Bacterial small subunit ribosomal RNA", at positions 524 to 776 of the family's 1533-position model. Lineage: Bacteria; Pseudomonadati; Pseudomonadota; Alphaproteobacteria; Rickettsiales. The record is from RNAcentral.
UACGAAGGGUGCUAGCGUUGUUCGGAUUUAUUGGGCGUAAAGCGUGCGUAGGCGGCUUAGCAAGUCAGCUGUGAAAGCCCGGGGCUCAACCCCGGAAUUGCAGUUGAAACUGCUUCGCUAGAGUAUGGAGCGGGAUAGUGGAAUUCCUAGUGUAGGGGUGAAAUCCGUAGAUAUUAGGAGGAACACCGGUGGCGAAAGCGACUAUCUAUGCCAUUACUGAAGCUGUUGCACGAAAGCGUGGGGAGCAAACAGG